UGGGGAGAGGAAAACUAGAAAGAUGAAAAAUUCUUUUUUGGAGAGAAAGUACUGUAAUGAAUUAGGGGCACUUUCAUAUCAUGAGGACUAAAAGCUAAACUCUUAUUAAAAAUGGACUGGAAGUUAUAAAAAUAGUCAAUAGGACUUAAAAAUUUAAGUCCGGUCUACUAAUGGAUUGGGUAUUAAAAACCUCCUAAAAUUAAUCAUCCUGUCCUUCAAUUCUAUCAUCAAUGCAUAGGACCCUAGAUACUAUAUUGCAAGAUGUAGAGAGCUUUGUAAGGAGAAUCCACUUGAAUGGUGAGUGGUAGAUGCUGGAUUCGGUGAGGAUUUGUUUGAGUAGAAAUAGUCAUAAUCAUAUACAGGAUGGCAAACAGAAAGUAUGUACCAUCUAGGGUUAUGUAAAAAAUUAGUCGGAUCACAAAUUUGGUCCAAAUUAGUUUCUAUGAUUCUGUUCAAAUCAUUUUUUUAAUAAUUUAGUUUGAUGUCAGUUUGAAAAAAUCUUGAGCUGAAAAAGUUGGAUUUGGUUUUUGUUUAAAUUUUUAAAAAAUUGAUUCAAAAUGAUCUAACCUGAAUGGAUUUAAACCAAUCCGAUGUGACU
Molecule: long non-coding RNA, 598 nt
Filed under: Elaeis guineensis (African oil palm)
Lineage: Eukaryota; Viridiplantae; Streptophyta; Magnoliopsida; Arecales; Arecaceae
Description: long non-coding RNA (EGUI_LNC072732)
Source: RNAcentral